Molecule: unclassified non-coding RNA, 240 nt
Filed under: soil metagenome
Description: partial contains 5.8S ribosomal RNA, internal transcribed spacer 2, and large subunit ribosomal RNA
Source: RNAcentral
AACGGUCUAUACCUGCGGUACCUGCGGAGGGAUCAUUAAUGAGAAACUGCCCCUCGCGGGUAGAUCUCCCACCCUUUGUAAACUUACCUUUGUUGCUUUGGCAGGCCCGUCUCCGGACCGCCGGCUUCGGCUGGCCAGUGCCUGCCAGAGGAUUCUAAAACUCUGUCUGUCAGUGUUGUCUGAGUCUAUAUACAACCGUUAAAACUUUCAACAACGGAUCUCUAGAUCGGAAGAGCACAC